GCUACGUGAGGCCGCAGUGAGGAAUAUUGGUCAAUGGGCUUACGCCUGAACCAGCCAAGUCGCGUGAGGGAAGACUGCCCUAUGGGUUGUAAACCUCUUUUGUCAGGGAGCAAUUGGCGCUACGUGUAGCGUUAUCGAGAGUACCUUACGAAAAAGCAUCGGCUAACUCCGUGCCAGCCGCCGCGAUCAUACGGAGGAUGCGAUCGUUAUCCGGAUUUAUUGGGUUUAAAGGGUGCGUAGGCGGAAUGCCAAGUCAGCGGUACAAUCGCGGGGCUCAACCUCGCACCGCCGUGGAAACUGGCGUUCUUGAGUGGGCGAGAAGUAUGCGGAAUGCGUGGUGUAGCGGUGAAAUGCAUAGAUAUCAUGCAGAACUCCGAUUGCGAAGGCAGCAUACCGGCGCCCAACUGACGCUGAAGCACUAAAGCGUGGGUAUCGAACAGGAUUAGAUACCCGAGUAGUC
RNAcentral lists this ribosomal RNA (460 nucleotides) under uncultured bacterium. RNAcentral's name for it is "partial 16S ribosomal RNA". It matches the Rfam family "Bacterial small subunit ribosomal RNA", at positions 338 to 795 of the family's 1533-position model. The record is from RNAcentral.